RNAcentral lists this ribosomal RNA (253 nucleotides) under uncultured bacterium. RNAcentral describes it as "partial 16S ribosomal RNA". It matches the Rfam family "Bacterial small subunit ribosomal RNA", at positions 524 to 776 of the family's 1533-position model. The record is from RNAcentral.
UACGAGGGGUCCAAGCGUUGUUCGGAAUCACUGGGCGUAAAGCGGGUGUAGGCGGCUAAGCAAGUUGGAUGUGAAAGCCCCGGGCUCAACCCGGGAAGUGCAUCCAAAACUACUUAGCUUGAGUACGGUAGAGGAAGGUAGAAUUCCAGGUGUAGUGGUGAAAUACGUAGAUAUCUGGAGGAACACCGGUGGCGAAGGCGGCCUUCUGGACCAGUACUGACGCUCAGACCCGAAAGCGUGGGUAGCAAACAGG